AGGCUAACAAUCAGGAGGGACAGAGCCAUAAAUAAGUCCUUGCAGUGACUACAGUCAUUAUCCUGCCCUUCAGUAAAAAUAAGAAAUCAAUGAAUUACAGGUGAUGGGCAGAGACCAGUUGCCCAGGUCUCUCUGCAAGGCAGGAUUUGUUGUCCCAACUGCGAUGAAAGCUGUCAGCCCUCAGUCCUCAGCUGUCAGCCCUUUCAGGAUUCUCCUCACUCGAGGUCACCUGCUCUUGAUGGAUGCCAGUAUCUGGGCAAAACAGGAUUGCAUUGGUGAUAAACAGCUUUUGAGAGGAGUCACUAAAAUUAUGAGUCAUAUCCCCAUUGGCAUUUUUCAGGAGACACAAGUAAAUAUUGGAAUCACUUUUUAAUUACUCCGGAGUACUGGACUGUGCAUUUAAUAUUCCACUUCACAUAUUAAUAGAAUUUGAGACCCUGACUUUAUUGAGUGUAUUGGUAAGGGUAAUUACCACUAGCUGCUUUAACAAACAACCCCAGUUCUCAGAGUCU
RNAcentral lists this long non-coding RNA (512 nucleotides) under Homo sapiens (human). RNAcentral's name for it is "non-protein coding lnc-MPHOSPH6-7:1". The record is from RNAcentral. Lineage: Eukaryota; Metazoa; Chordata; Mammalia; Primates; Hominidae.